This is a long non-coding RNA of Hippocampus comes (tiger tail seahorse), 1359 nucleotides long. RefSeq lists it as uncharacterized. Lineage: Eukaryota; Metazoa; Chordata; Actinopteri; Syngnathiformes; Syngnathidae. The transcript has 2 exons. The record is from RefSeq and is a predicted model, not a curated record.
AACACAAUUGGUGAUUAUAUGCAUUUCGGAAUAGCCAACAAAGACAACUGGUUAAUUUUGAUUUGAUAAUGAACUAUACAGAAUCAUUAUUGCUAAGAACAUUAGUGCUGUUACUGAGAAAAGAUUGCAAAUUUGCGAUGACACUGAUUCCAAAUCAGAAAUGCAAGAAACUUUCGAAAUGUUGGCAGUCGGUAGUAGGCGUGGGGGGAAAAAAAAAGCAUAUGCUUCAAGUGGUCAUGGAUAAACCAGGAAAAAAAAAAACUUCAAGCAGUAAAGUAAGUAGUGGUUACACAUUUUUUGUGGCUUUGUGACUUUCAAAAUGACCCGAAUGUCUAAUUUUAGACUUCAGUAUCUUACUGUAUUUGAAAUGCGUAUGCAGUAAUGUCACCGGGUCACACUGACACAUUGGGAAUUUCUCCAUUGUGAGACAAAUAAAGGUUUUUUUAUCUUAUCUUAAAAGUUAAUGAAGAACAUUAAGAAAAAAAAAGGAUGACACAUAGUUGAAGUAUGAAACUUCUAUUUCAUUAAUAAGUGAAAUCAACAAGAUCAUUGUCCACCUCUGACAUUUGCAAUUUAGUAUUAGAAUUCAUAAACGAGUGUUUUCACACAAGUGGUGGUCGGAAUACCUCUCGUGGCAUGCGAAAGCAUCACUGCCAAUGACAGCUCAGUUGGAUUUAACUUUUUUUCCAAAACAUUAGCGUUUGGUCAAUUAGAAAUUUAUUUAGGCACCAUUUGUAACUUGUUUAUUUUUGGUGAAUCGCUACUUAAGUACAGUCUUAUUUUCUUGUACUUAAGCACGGUGCUAAUGCUCAAACUGUGUAUAAUGUUACAUUGGCUUCUAAAAUGCAAUCAUAUAAUAAUUAAAAAGGUGGUACUUUGCAUAAAAAAAGUUUUGCCAACAACUGAUAAACAAUAAAUACUGGGACUUUUCCCCAAAAAAUUUACCCUGGAAAACGAUAGUUGGUAAACGAAAUGUCGAGUUUUAAAUUCAGUAUAACACAAAAUCUGGAGGAACUUCUUGCGCCCGAAACUUUUGUGCUCUGGGAAUAAAAGAAAGUCUAGUGUGAAACGCCUGCUUCAAGUUUCGUUUCUCUGACACAACCACGAACACGACACACUCUACGGGCCACACAAGUGCCACACGUACGGUGACACGGACGUCCGACAACGGCACAGAAACGACGACAACGACAAGCUCAAUGGCCGCCACAACAAAGUGCUCAACGCCGGCCGCACAAUCGAUGCUUGCUCCCUUGACAGCUGACGGCCAAACCCCUCAAGAAAACACAACAACCCCGCCAGUAACAAACCUUGUGCUCCAAGUGAAUCCGAGCUGGAUAAUAAAAAUAAAAAUAAAUU